RNAcentral lists this ribosomal RNA (253 nucleotides) under uncultured bacterium. RNAcentral describes it as "partial 16S ribosomal RNA". It matches the Rfam family "Bacterial small subunit ribosomal RNA", at positions 524 to 776 of the family's 1533-position model. The record is from RNAcentral.
UACGUAGGGAGCAAGCGUUGUCCGGAAUCAUUGGGCGUAAAGCGCGCGUAGGCGGCCUCGUAAGUCCGCUGUGAAAGUCCAGGGCUCAACCCUGGGAUGCCGGUGGAUACUGUCGGGCUCGAGUCCGGAAGAGGCGAGUGGAAUUCCUGGUGUAGCGGUGAAAUGCGCAGAUAUCAGGAGGAACACCAAUGGCGAAGGCAGCUCGCUGGGACGUGACUGACGCUGAGACGCGAAAGCGUGGGGAGCAAACAGG